CCUUUGACGUUAGCGGCGGACGGGUGAGUAACACGUGGGUAACCUACCUAUAAGACUGGGAUAACUUCGGGAAACCGGAGCUAAUACCGGAUAAUAUUUCGAACCGCAUGGUUCGAUAGUGAAAGGUGGUUUUGCUAUCACUUAUAGAUGGACCCGCGCCGUAUUAGCUAGUUGUAAGGUAACGGCUUACCAAGGCGACGAUACGUAGCCGACCUGAGAGGGUGAUCGGCCACACUGGAACUGAGACACGGUCCAGACUCCUACGGGAGGCAGCAGUC
RNAcentral lists this ribosomal RNA (278 nucleotides) under uncultured Staphylococcus sp. RNAcentral's name for it is "partial 16S ribosomal RNA". It matches the Rfam family "Bacterial small subunit ribosomal RNA", at positions 83 to 355 of the family's 1533-position model. The record is from RNAcentral. Lineage: Bacteria; Bacillati; Bacillota; Bacilli; Caryophanales; Staphylococcaceae.